GAUGAACGCUGGCGGCGUGCCUAAUACAUGCAAGUCGAGCGAACAGACGGGGAGCUUGCUCCUCUGACGUUAGCGGCGGACGGGUGAGUAACACGUGGAUAACCUACCUAUAAGACUGGGAUAACUUCGGGAAACCGGAGCUAAUACCGGAUAAUAUAUUGAACCGCGUGGUUCAAUAGUGAAAGACGGUUUUGCUGUCACUUAUAGAUGGAUCCGCGCCGCAUUAGCUAGUUGGUAAGGUAACGGCUUACCAAGGCAACGAUGCGUAGCCGACCUGAGAGGGUGAUCGGCCACACUGGAACUGAGACACGGUCCAGACUCCUACGGGAGGCAGCAGUAGGGAAUCUUCCGCAAUGGGCGAAAGCCUGACGGAGCAACGCCGCGUGAGUGAUGAAGGUCUUCGGAUCGUAAAACUCUGUUAUUAGGGAAGAACAAAUGUGUAAGUAACUAUGCACGUCUUGACGGUACCUAAUCAGAAAGCCACGGCUAACUACGUG
This 497-nucleotide ribosomal RNA is filed under the name uncultured bacterium. RNAcentral describes it as "partial 16S ribosomal RNA". It matches the Rfam family "Bacterial small subunit ribosomal RNA", at positions 28 to 507 of the family's 1533-position model. The record is from RNAcentral.